Molecule: ribosomal RNA, 497 nt
Filed under: uncultured bacterium
Lineage: Bacteria
Description: partial 16S ribosomal RNA
Rfam family: Bacterial small subunit ribosomal RNA
Source: RNAcentral
GAUGAACGCUGGCGGCGUGCCUAAUACAUGCAAGUCGAGCGAACGGACGAGAAGCUUGCUUCUCUGAUGUUAGCGGCGGACGGGUGAGUAACACGUGGAUAACCUACCUAUAAGACUGGGAUAACUUCGGGAAACCGGAGCUAAUACCGGAUAAUAUUUUGAACCGCAUGGUUCAAAAGUGAAAGACGGUCUUGCUGUCACUUAUAGAUGGAUCCGCGCUGCAUUAGCUAGUUGGUAAGGUAACGGCUUACCAAGGCAACGAUGCAUAGACGACCUGAGAGAGGGAUAGGCCACACGGGAGCUGAGACGCGGUCCUGACUCCUACGAGAGGCAGCAGUAGGGAAUCUGCCGCAGUGGGCGAAAGCCUGACGGAGCAACGCCGCGUGAGUGAUGAAGGUCUUCGGAUCGUAAAACUCUGUUAUUAGGGAAGAACAUAUGUGUAAGUAACUGUGCACAUCUUGACGGUACCGAAUCAGAAAGCCACGGCUAACUACGUG